This 509-nucleotide ribosomal RNA is filed under the name Stenotrophomonas maltophilia. RNAcentral's name for it is "bacterial SSU rRNA". It matches the Rfam family "Bacterial small subunit ribosomal RNA", at positions 113 to 621 of the family's 1533-position model. The record is from RNAcentral. Lineage: Bacteria; Pseudomonadati; Pseudomonadota; Gammaproteobacteria; Lysobacterales; Lysobacteraceae.
AUACAUCGGAAUCUACUUUUUCGUGGGGGAUAACGUAGGGAAACUUACGCUAAUACCGCAUACGACCUACGGGUGAAAGCAGGGGAUCUUCGGACCUUGCGCGAUUGAAUGAGCCAAUGUCGGAUUAGCUGGUUGGCGGGGUAAAGGCCCACCAAGGCGACGAUCCGUAGCUGGUCUGAGAGGAUGAUCAGCCACACUGGAACUGAGACACGGCCCAAACUCCUACGGGAGGCAGCAGUGGGGAAUAUUGGACAAUGGGCGCAAGCCUGAUCCAGCCAUACCGCGUGGGUGAAGAAGGCCUUCGGGUUGUAAAGCCCUUUUGUUGGGAAAGAAAUCCAGCUGGCUAAUACCCGGUUGGGAUGACGGUACCCAAAGAAUAAGCACCGGCUAACUUCGUGCCAGCAGCCGCGGUAAUACGAAGGGUGCAAGCGUUCUCGGAAUUACUGGGCGUAAAGCGUGCGUAGGUGGUCGUUUAGUCCGUUGUGAACCCCUGGGCUCAACCUGGGACU